Molecule: ribosomal RNA, 253 nt
Filed under: uncultured bacterium
Lineage: Bacteria
Description: partial 16S ribosomal RNA
Rfam family: Bacterial small subunit ribosomal RNA
Source: RNAcentral
UACGGGGGGGGCAAGCGUUGUUCGGAAUUACUGGGCGUAAAGGGCUCGUAGGCGGCCAACUAAGUCAGACGUGAAAUCCCUCGGCUUAACCGGGGAACUGCGUCUGAUACUGGAUGGCUUGAGAUUGGGAGAGGGAUGCGGAAUUCCAGGUGUAGCGGUGAAAUGCGUAGAUAUCUGGAGGAACACCGGUGGCGAAGGCGGCAUCCUGGACCGAGAUUGACGCUGAUGCGCGAAAGCCAGGGGAGCAAACGGG